ACCGUACAUUCUUUUACAGGUGCCCAUAGGGGAGAAUAGGGAAUCGGGUGUAAUUCCCGAGCGGUCCCGCCACUGUAAACGGUGAGGUGAUACCCGAGAGAAGCCACUGGCCAAAGGGCCGGGAAGGUUGGUAUCAAGCAAUGACCCGUAAGUCAGGAGACCUGCCUGUAAAAGCAUAAAAAC
This 183-nucleotide non-coding RNA is filed under the name Desulforamulus aeronauticus. Lineage: Bacteria; Bacillati; Bacillota; Clostridia; Eubacteriales; Peptococcaceae. The record is from RNAcentral.